GAUGAACGCUGGCGGCGUGCCUAAUACAUGCAAGUCGAGCGAACAGACGAUGAUCUUGCUCCUCUGACGUUAGCGGCGGACGGGUGAGUAACACGUGGAUAACCUACCUAUAAGACUUGGAUAACUUCGGGAAACCGUAGCUAAUACCGGAUAAUAUAUUUAACCGCAUGGUUGAAUAGUGAAAUACGGGUUUGCUGUCACUGAUAGAUGGAUCCGCGCCGCAUUAGCUAGUUGGUAAGGUAACGGCUUACCAAGGCAACGAUGCGUAGCCGACCUGAGAGGGUGAUCGGGCACACUGGAACUGAGACACGGUCCAGACUCCUACGGGAGGCCGCAGUAGGGAAUCUUGCGCAAUGGGCGAAAGCCUGACGGAGCACCGCCGCGUGAGUGAUGAAGGUCUUCGGAUCGUAAAACUCUGUUAUUAGGGAAGCACAAAUGUGUAAGUAACUAUGCACGUCUUGACGGUACCUAAUCAGAAAGCCACGGCUAACUACGUG
Molecule: ribosomal RNA, 497 nt
Filed under: uncultured bacterium
Lineage: Bacteria
Description: partial 16S ribosomal RNA
Rfam family: Bacterial small subunit ribosomal RNA
Source: RNAcentral